AGUGAACGCUGGCGGUAGGCCUAACACAUGCAAGUCGAACGGCAGCACAGUAAGAGCUUGCUCCUACGGGUGGCGAGUGGCGGACGGGUGAGGAAUACAUCGGAAUCUACUUUUUCGUGGGGGAUAACGUAGGGAAACUUACGCUAAUACCGCAUACGACCUACGGGUGAAAGCAGGGGAUCUUCGGACCUUGCGCGAUUGAAUUAGCCGAUGUCGGAUUAGCUAGUUGGCGGGGUAAAGGCCCACCAAGGCGACGAUCCGUAGCUGGUCUGAGAGGAUGAUCAGCCACACUGGAACUGAGACACGGUCCAGACUCCUACGGGAGGCAGCAGUGGGGAAUAUUGGACAAUGGGCGCAAGCCUGAUCCAGCCAUACCGCGUGGGUGAAGAAGGCCUUCGGGUUGUAAAGCCCUUUUGUUGGGAAAGAAAAGCAGCAGGUUAAUACCCCGCUGUUCUGACGGUACCCAAAGAAUAAGCACCGGCUAACUUCGUG
Molecule: ribosomal RNA, 492 nt
Filed under: uncultured bacterium
Lineage: Bacteria
Description: partial 16S ribosomal RNA
Rfam family: Bacterial small subunit ribosomal RNA
Source: RNAcentral